AUUGAACGCUGGCGGCAGGCCUAACACAUGCAAGUCGAGCGGAUGAAGGGAGCUUGCUCCUGGAUUCAGCGGCGGACGGGUGAGUAAUGCCUAGGAAUCUGCCUGGUAGUGGGGGAUAACGUCCGGAAACGGGCGCUAAUACCGCAUACGUCCUGAGGGAGAAAGUGGGGGAUCUUCGGACCUCACGCUAUCAGAUGAGCCUAGGUCGGAUUAGCUAGUUGGUGGGGUAAAGGCCUACCAAGGCGACGAUCCGUAACUGGUCUGAGAGGAUGAUCAGUCACACUGGAACUGAGACACGGUCCGGACUCCUACGGGAGGCAGCAGUGGGGAAUAUUGGACAAUGGGCGAAAGCCUGAUCCAGCCAUGCCGCGUGCGUGAAGAAGGUCUUCGGAUUGUAAAGCACUUUAAGUUGGGAGGAAGGGCAGUAAGUUAAUACCUUGCUGUUUUGACGUUACCAACAGAAUAAGCACCGGCUAACUUCGUG
RNAcentral lists this ribosomal RNA (484 nucleotides) under uncultured bacterium. Its description in RNAcentral is "partial 16S ribosomal RNA". It matches the Rfam family "Bacterial small subunit ribosomal RNA", at positions 30 to 507 of the family's 1533-position model. The record is from RNAcentral.